This 492-nucleotide ribosomal RNA is filed under the name uncultured bacterium. RNAcentral's name for it is "partial 16S ribosomal RNA". It matches the Rfam family "Bacterial small subunit ribosomal RNA", at positions 29 to 507 of the family's 1533-position model. The record is from RNAcentral.
AGUGAACGCUGGCGGUAGGCCUAACACAUGCAAGUCGAACGGCAGCACAGUAAGAGCUUGCUCUUACGGGUGGCGAGUGGCGGACGGGUGAGGAAUACAUCGGAAUCUACUUUUUCGUGGGGGAUAACGUAGGGAAACUUACGCUAAUACCGCAUACGACCUACGGGUGAAAGCAGGGGAUCUUCGGACCUUGCGCGAUUGGAUGAGCCGAUGUCGGGUGAGCGAGUUGGCGGGGUAAAGGCCCACCAAGGCGACGAUCCGUAGCUGGUCUGGGAGAAUGAUCGUCCACACUGGAACUGAGACACGGGCCAGACUCCUACGGGAAGCAGCAGUGGGGAAUAUUGGACAAUGGGAGCAAGCCUGAUCCAGCAAUACCGCGUGGGUGAAGAAGGCCUUCGGGUUGUAAAGCCCUUUUGUUGGGAAAGAAAAGCAGCAGGUUAAUACCCCGCUGUUCUGACGGUACCCAAAGAAUAAGCACCGGCUAACUUCGUG